CAUCAAGAAGCUAUGUAGCGUUAACCUUUUAAGUUAAAGACCGAGAGCAUAAUACUCUCCUUGAUGA
Non-coding RNA from Capra hircus (goat), 67 nucleotides. Lineage: Eukaryota; Metazoa; Chordata; Mammalia; Artiodactyla; Bovidae. The record is from Ensembl.